This 43-nucleotide unclassified non-coding RNA is filed under the name Pseudolactococcus piscium. Its description in RNAcentral is "Lactococcus piscium ctRNA_pND324". Lineage: Bacteria; Bacillati; Bacillota; Bacilli; Lactobacillales; Streptococcaceae. The record is from RNAcentral.
UGUUUCUCAUACGAUUCUCAUCUGGACCUUUGCGUGUCGGCUA